CUGAAUCCUCCGAAAGUUUUCUUUUCUUCUUCGCGAAAUUCGCGCGAAAAAUGUUGGCGAUGGACUCGCGAUCUUCUUCUCUCCAUCUUCAUCGCUCCAUUGCUCGCGUUGACCUUAUCUCCGUCGUACGAAUGAAACAAUCCCCCAGAACUCCUUCUCCGAACACGCCUCGAAUACGUAUAACUAUCUUCUGUUGAUUCCGUACCUCCGUGAUCUGUUUUAUCUUUUUUUUUGCAUCUGAAUUUUCGCGAUCCAAUAGAAUUCUGAUUCCUUAGUUUUUUUUUUUUUUUAAAGUUAUAAUUGAAUGGCUGAGAGUAGAGAGUUAGGUUUACAUAAGCCUGCUAUUAGCUUGAAAGAGCAGUUAGCGAGAACUACUCUGAGGAACUUGAGGUCGCAAGGUCACACGUACGUUCAGAUUCGCGAAGACGGGAAGCGUUUCGUCUUCUUCUGCACUCUGUGUCUCGCUCCCUGCUACAGCGACGCCGUUUUGCUCGGGCAUUUGAACGGGAGCCUUCACAGGGAGAGGUUGUCGUGUGCUAAGAUCACGCUUCUCGGUGAAAAGCCGUGGCCUUUCAAUGACGGUGUGCUUUUCUUCGAUUGUUCAAAGGGAGAAGAAGAGGAGAAGAAAGCUCAGAUCUCUGGUGGUGAAGGUGUUACUUGUCCUUUGCUGGAUUGGUGUGAUGAUGAAAGGUUUGCUAUUGUUGUGUAUGAUGAAAGCAGAGGGCAAAAUGGAGAUAUUAAUCAACCUGCUGAUGAGAUUGGUCGCUGUGGAGAUAAUCUGUUGAUCUCUGGUUUGUUGAUUAAGGAGAGAACUGUUGAUCUGGAAGCUAAGUUUAUAGGCUUUGGACGCAUAGCUGCUAGGUUGUUUGAGACGAAAGGGCGUUCGACUUGGAUAGAUAAGCUAUGGUGCGAGUGGUUAGGAGAGGAGUGUCCUUCGGAUGAGGAGAAGGCUAGUGUCCCGGAGCAUGACUUUGCUAUUGUCACGUUCUCCUAUUUCUAUAAUUUGGGUAGGCUUGGUUUUCUCGACGAGCCGAGCCGUCUUCUCACAUCUAGUCCAGCUGAAUCAGGGAAAGGGGAAGACGGUGGGAGGAAGAGGAAGAAGUCUUUUUCCGAUCCGGAAGACACUAGUGAUUCUCUGUGUAGUCAGUACGACUCUUCUGAGGAGGUCUCUUCAAGGGCUCUGAUAGGUGAUUAUGAUGAUAGUGUCGUGGACAAGAGGAUCAUCAAGAACAGAAAGGUAAGACGAGAGCUCAGGAAGCAACAGAGGAUAAAUUCCGAGAGGAUAUGCGAAGUCUGUAAGCAAAAGAUGCUUCCUGGGAAAGAUGCAGCAGCAAUACUAAACAUGAAGACAGGGAAACUUGCGUGUGGUAGUAGAAACCUCCUCGGUGCGUUCCACCUGUUUCACGUGUCUUGUGUCGUGCACUGGUUUCUUUUUUGUGAGAGUGAGAUACUUGGGAGCAAGAUGGUGUGUGGAAAAGGGAAAAAGAGAUGCGCAAAGCAGAGUGGUGCGAACAUGAAUGGGUUGGUAAGUAAUGUUAGCUGGCAAAUAUUUUCAGUGUUCUGUCCAGAAUGUCAAGGCACUGGCAUAAACAUUGAAGGAGGUGAGAUUGAGAGAGACACGUUUCCGCUUUCUCAGGUAUGUAUGUGAUUUCACUCACUCAAAGUUCUUAAACAAGUGUAAACCUAACAUACGUGUGAUUGUAUGUGAAUGUGGUAGACAUGGAGGUUCGGGGUGAAAGUGAGUGAAGGUAGAAAAGCAUGGGUGAAAAAUCCGGAAAAGUUAGAGAACUGUUCAACGGGUUUUCAUUUUCCACUGCAGGAUAAAGAAUCGGUCAAGGGUCAGGUAAUAAUAAUACUAUUAUUACACAAUAUAUCCAUUUUGGUAAUUACAUUGGUUGUAAGUGGGAAGAUUAAAAUGUGGGAAUGCAGGAGGAAAGAGUGCAGAGCAUGAAACUGGUUCGUUUCUACCGAGUGGAGUUGUAACGUAGGAAACAAGCAAGCAAAGAUACACUCGAAAUGUUAUGUGUUUUGUGUAAAUAAGGCUUUGGUCUCGCCCUUUACAGUUCUUCUCACUGUAAAUCCGCUAUUACAUUUGCAUUUGUUAUUACUUAUUACUAUGAUACUAUCUAAUUACUUCCCAUUUUAUUCUUUUCUUUUGAGUUAGGGACUUUAAUACGUACAAUAAUAUUUAAAAAAAUCUUUAAAAUUCGAAAUUCUAAAACCUGUUUUCGAGAUAGGCACGUUCAGUUAGAACUUUUGAAGCUACAAAAAUGGAUCUCGUAGAUGAGGCCAUGAGGGGGUUGUGUCAUGCGGACCCAUAUACGUCAUCUCAGACUGCACUAUGCUUUUAAAUGAAACAGCUCACUCCAGUUUUGUUUACAACAUUUUUAAUGUAUAAAGAAAGAACCGUACCAAAAACAUUAAUUUGAUAAACUUGAUAUUUCAACUUCUUCUAUCAGCACUGUCUUAUUCACCGUUAUCAAUCAAACGUAGGGUCCAAAUUUUAUUUAUAAUUUUUGGAAAGAAAAAAGUAUCACCGUCUGCGUCGCGUUAUCAUCCUUUUGGUGCACAAAUAGAUUGAGUUGAAGAUGAGCCUCCUUUUAUCCAUAUUAUUAUUAGAUCAGAAUAAACAAUAGCAAAUCGGUGCCGUUUCUUGAUUUUCACAUUAUUAUGUUCUAAUCAUACAAUCAGAAGAUUCAACGCUCUUACACACACACACACUUGUAACUUACCUCGUAAAUAUAAUAUGCAUACUCAUUCCAAUGUAUGAUGAGAGGACAUACAAUUAGAAAAGAAGUAGACACAUGACCAUGAAACAAAGCAGGAACAAAUAGAUUCUGCUUAGUGACUCAUCCGCCUGCAUUGUCCGACGCCUUAACCGGAGACUUGUGUAACGGUCUCCCCGGUACGGUGUCACGUUGCUCGAAGACUCUCCAAAUAGUCUCUGAUAUACCAUCUCGCAUACCUCACCCACCACCGGAUCAGGCAUUCUAUACAUGUACCGUUGACUCCCCCCUUCUCCUACAAGUUGACCAGCUCUUCUCAAGUCAUAAACCGGACCAGAUGGUCUGUUCGGUACAUUUGAACCAGACUGGGGGACUUUCUGUCCCCUGCCGUAGAUAGGGACAAGCGUAGCGUCGGAGACCUCGGAUUUGCAGACCGGACAUUUCGAGGAUUUCUUCUUAUCGUACUGGUCGACGCGUUGUCUUGUAUUGUUGGUGGAGUAAGUCCACUUGUAAAUGCAGGGCCAACAAAACAAGUGGCCACACAAAGUCACGACCGGAUCACGAACCUGAUCCAAACAUAUGUUGCAGUCGAAGUCUCCUCCUGAGUCACCCAAUGUUGCUAGGUCUUCUUGGUUCUCUAGCUCCAUUUUACUGAAACGUACAAGACAAACACAUUCACUUGACUAGUCCUUGUUUAUUAGAGAUUUCACCUAAAAUACGAAAUUUCGUGAGAAGAAUAAUAAAUAGUUUUUUUACAAAAAGAAGGUAAUAAUAUAUAGUAAUAAUUUGUAAUCGUAUUGUCUUACUCGUAUAAUAAAUAAUUUUUCACGUUAUAUACCAUGAUAAAACUAAAUUAUUAAAGAAACAUAGUGGUUAAUUAAACAGCGAAGUGAUAACAAGGAGAUUAUUCCUAAUCGUAUUAUCUACUAAAACUGACUUAGUAUAAUCGGAAAGAAUCAGCUGCGUGCGACCGUGCGUAGUUAUUCAAGAAACGGUGCAGAUCUAUUGAAUAGAUGCUUUUAUAUGUAAACAUACAAGCGCAAUAACAUAGAUAUAUAUAUAUAUAUAUAAAGAGUGAUGAUUCAGAGACGUACUCGUCGAAAAGAUUGUAAGUACCGAUGGAUCUCUGCUGACUUUAGAUGCUAGUAGCCUUUGGAAACCUCAGACUCAGAGAGUUAUGGCUGAAGAACAAAGGGAGGAGAAUUAUUUGGAAUUAGAGAAAGCGGAAUGGGUAAGAACAAUAAUAAUAAAUCGAAGGUGGCGCAGAAGAAGGCACGAGAGCUUAUAUUAUAUUAUACACACACGCACACGUAAGUAUUAUUUAUUACUCCCUCUGUUCCCAAAAGUAAGAUGUUUUAGAUUUUUUACUUGUUCUACAAAGAUAAAUUUUCUAUAUGUUUAAGGUACUUUUUUAUAUUUUUAAAAAACAUUAAAUAAAAAUAUUUGAAUUGAUUAAAUUUCAUUGGUGAAAAGUUAUUGGAAAGUGUAUAAUAAAGUAAAAAAAUUAAAUUAUAAAUAUUUAUUGAAUUUUUAAUAAGCGUGAACACUUUAGAAAAUCUUAUUACGAGGAACAGAGGUUCGAGGAACAGAAGUAGUAGUUUAUAAAGGUGUAAAAACUAAAUCAGCAGAAAUUAUUUUAAAGAAGAAACGUCUACCUAAUUGAAAAUAAGUAGAUAAAGUAACGAAAUGGCAUUCUUUUUUUUUUCUUUGUUUCUUGAAUAUUUGCAUAUUUUUUGAAAAGGUCAGCAACAUAAAGAAGGCAAUACUAUAAAAAUGUUUAAUCACAACUACAGAACAAAAAAUAUUCAGCUGACAGAACAAUUUUGAAAAAUAACUUAAAAAAUAUUACAAACUCCCAAAUUGUCCCAUAACUUUAUUGGUUUAUCUUUUUACAAAAAAAAAAAAAAACUUUAUCGGUUUAUCCCUAUUUCUUUUUCGUAGGAUAAGAAUUUGACCGGCCGCCACUUCGCCAAAUACAAAACCCACGCCGACAUUAUCAAAACCCAACAGCCCAAAUAAAACGGACAAAAAAGCAGAGAGAAAAUGGGCCAGGCCCAACCUUCUAAAGACGCUCUUUACCGCCACAAACGUCGAACCCUUCGACACCCUUCAAUGUGCAGGUUGAAUAUGAGCGAUAAUAAAAGUUAGGUAUCAAAUGUCGAAGAUAUAGAGAGUUUUUUUUUUUUCCUGAUAAAGCAGUUUAUAAAAAAGAUAUAGAAAGUUAAGCAGUCAAAUUAGAUAGUUUCUCAUUUAUUUUUUAAUUAAGUGUUGAAGUUUAUCUACUAUCCCGCGACUCAUCGGGAUCGGAGAAUCUCUUAUUGAAAAAAUUCGAAUCUCCACAACUAUUUAUAAAACUCAAGAGCACAUCUUAACCGUUCAUCACUCAACCAUCAAAAUCCAACGGUUAAAUAGUUUUCUCUUCAACGACUAGAGGACAAAGAAGCUUUCCUUCGAUUUCGGUUAACUCCUUCUUCUUCUUCAACCAUCGCUCCUGAAUCACUCUCUCUCGUCGUUUCUUCUCAAAUUCUCCGUCAAUUCUGAAUCCUCCGAAAGUUUUCUUUUCUUCUUCGCGAAAUUCGCGCGAAAAAUGUUGGCGAUGGACUCGCGAUCUUCUUCUCUCCAUCUUCAUCGCUCCAUUGCUCGCGUUGACCUUAUCUCCGUCGUACGAAUGAAACAAUCCCCCAGAACUCCUUCUCCGAACACGCCUCGAAUACGUAUAACUAUCUUCUGUUGAUUCCGUACCUCCGUGAUCUGUUUUAUCUUUUUUUUUGCAUCUGAAUUUUCGCGAUCCAAUAGAAUUCUGAUUCCUUAGUUUUUUUUUUUUUUUAAAGUUAUAAUUGAAUGGCUGAGAGUAGAGAGUUAGGUUUACAUAAGCCUGCUAUUAGCUUGAAAGAGCAGUUAGCGAGAACUACUCUGAGGAACUUGAGGUCGCAAGGUCACACGUACGUUCAGAUUCGCGAAGACGGGAAGCGUUUCGUCUUCUUCUGCACUCUGUGUCUCGCUCCCUGCUACAGCGAC
Molecule: long non-coding RNA, 5744 nt
Filed under: Brassica napus (rape)
Lineage: Eukaryota; Viridiplantae; Streptophyta; Magnoliopsida; Brassicales; Brassicaceae
Description: long non-coding RNA (BNAP_LNC020873)
Source: RNAcentral